This is a non-coding RNA of Triticum aestivum (bread wheat), 124 nucleotides long. The record is from Rfam. Lineage: Eukaryota; Viridiplantae; Streptophyta; Magnoliopsida; Poales; Poaceae.
UUACUACUCCCUCCUUCGGAAUUACUUGUCCGAGAAAUGGAUGUAUCUAGAUAUAUUUUAGUUCUAGAUACACCCACUUUUAUCCAUUUUUGCGACAAGUAAUUCCGGACGGAGGGAGUACAUG